RNAcentral lists this ribosomal RNA (169 nucleotides) under uncultured marine bacterium. RNAcentral's name for it is "partial 16S ribosomal RNA". It matches the Rfam family "Bacterial small subunit ribosomal RNA", at positions 338 to 524 of the family's 1533-position model. The record is from RNAcentral.
CCUACGGGAGGCAGCAGUGGGGAAUAUUGGACAAUGGGGGCAACCCUGAUCCAGCAAUGCCGCGUGUGUGAUGAAGGCCUUAGGGUUGUAAAGCACUUUCACUGGUGAAGAUGAUGACGGUAAUCAGAGAAGAAGCCCCGGCUAACUUCGUGCCAGCAGCCGCGGUAAU